This 1063-nucleotide ribosomal RNA is filed under the name Bacillus pumilus. RNAcentral describes it as "bacterial SSU rRNA". It matches the Rfam family "Bacterial small subunit ribosomal RNA", at positions 36 to 1083 of the family's 1533-position model. The record is from RNAcentral. Lineage: Bacteria; Bacillati; Bacillota; Bacilli; Caryophanales; Bacillaceae.
UUGCAAUGCGGCGUGCUAAUACAUGCAGUCGAGCGGACAGAAGGGAGCUUGCUCCCGGAUGUUAGCGGCGGACGGGUGAGUAACACGUGGGUAACCUGCCUGUAAGACUGGGAUAACUCCGGGAAACCGGAGCUAAUACCGGAUAGUUCCUUGAACCGCAUGGUUCAAGGAUGAAAGACGGUUUCGGCUGUCACUUACAGAUGGACCCGCGGCGCAUUAGCUAGUUGGUGGGGUAAUGGCUCACCAAGGCGACGAUGCGUAGCCGACCUGAGAGGGUGAUCGGCCACACUGGGACUGAGACACGGCCCAGACUCCUACGGGAGGCAGCAGUAGGGAAUCUUCCGCAAUGGACGAAAGUCUGACGGAGCAACGCCGCGUGAGUGAUGAAGGUUUUCGGAUCGUAAAGCUCUGUUGUUAGGGAAGAACAAGUGCGAGAGUAACUGCUCGCACCUUGACGGUACCUAACCAGAAAGCCACGGCUAACUACGUGCCAGCAGCCGCGGUAAUACGUAGGUGGCAAGCGUUGUCCGGAAUUAUUGGGCGUAAAGGGCUCGCAGGCGGUUUCUUAAGUCUGAUGUGAAAGCCCCCGGCUCAACCGGGGAGGGUCAUUGGAAACUGGGAAACUUGAGUGCAGAAGAGGAGAGUGGAAUUCCACGUGUAGCGGUGAAAUGCGUAGAGAUGUGGAGGAACACCAGUGGCGAAGGCGACUCUCUGGUCUGUAACUGACGCUGAGGAGCGAAAGCGUGGGGAGCGAACAGGAUUAGAUACCCUGGUAGUCCACGCCGUAAACGAUGAGUGCUAAGUGUUAGGGGGUUUCCGCCCCUUAGUGCUGCAGCUAACGCAUUAAGCACUCCGCCUGGGGAGUACGGUCGCAAGACUGAAACUCAAAGGAAUUGACGGGGGCCCGCACAAGCGGUGGAGCAUGUGGUUUAAUUCGAAGCAACGCGAAGAACCUUACCAGUCUUGACAUCCUCUGACACCCUAGAGAUAGGGCUUUCCCUUCGGGACAGAGUGACAGUGGUGCAUGGUUGUCGUCAGCUCGUGUCGUGAGAUGUUGGGUUUA